AAUGACACCUCGUGGCUUCAAAUCAGGAAGGUAAUUUAAUGAGGAAAUAAGACAGACGGCGGACUUUUUUCGGAAUUCCUUUAAUUCUUAUCUUUACUAGCUUCCGUUAAUUAAUAUAAAAACUUGCAUGCUUUGUAUAUAAAAAGAAGCAUUAUGUUAGAAUCCGAAAAACCUUCAAGAGCAUCAACAAUUCACCCUUUUUGAUCGAAAUCGGACAUAGAAUUUGACGUACGGAAUGGAGGUUUUGAUUUUGCUUUUCUGUUUCAUGAUAGAAGGCUCUGCCGCUUCUAUGUGCGAUCAGAUAACAUGCGACAAUGCCCCCUUGAAAGAAUUAUCUAAGCGAAAUUACACAUUGAAUGAAACCCAGCUGACACGUUUAUGUCCACCAACCUUGGAGCUCUUUAACUGUUACUCCAAAUUUGCCAGGGAUUGCUUUGAAAUGGAACUUGAAGAAUUAGCAGCAAGUAAUGAUCCAUACGCUAAAGUUAUUGCAACCAAAGUUUUGCAAGCUAAAAAUCUGGUUAUUGAAAUGUGCGAUGAACAUUCAACUUUACGCAAAGAUUAUCUAGAAAAUGUGGUUGCUUUACGCGUAUGAUUGAUAAUGUCUCUUUCAUCUGUUCAGAAAAGGCCGCCGAACACGCUGUUGCAUUUUGAAAAAAAUUUCAUGAUUUAAAAGAAGGAGGACGCAUUGAUUUUUCGCAACGACGCUGCUUAGAAACAGUGUAUUCAAUCGCUUGCUUGGCCGAACAGUUGGAGAGGACGUGUGGUGAAGUUGCGAGAAGAACAUUCCUGACUCUUCUCGAAAAGGUCAAAAGUGUUAUACGUGAAGAAAGUAUUGUUGAAGACCCUCUGAGUUUUAAACGAUCAUUUCUUGAGUACUUGGAAUUGGAAGACAAGAUAUCCGAGCUUUACAGAUUUGUAUUUGAAACAUUCAGAAUGCACUAUUGAGUAUUUUGCUGAAAAUGUUUUGAAGAGAUUAAAAUGAAUUUUGAAGUACUUUAAUAAUUGUAUUAUUAAAGUAUUGUUGAAGACCCUCUGAGUUUUAAACGAUCAUUUCUUGAGUACUUGGAAUUGGAAGACAAGAUAUCCGAGCUUUACAGAUUUGUAUUUGAAACAUUCAGAAUGCACUAUUGAGUAUUUUGCUGAAAAUGUUUUGAAGAGAUUAAAAUGAAUUUUGAAGUACUUUAAUAAUGCUAGAAUUCUAUUUAAAGAUUUUCACUUAGAAUAAUGUUAAUUGAAUUUACUCUCUAAAUGUAAUAAUAAAAAUUAGAAGGAAUUUAUAAGUUAAAUAAAAAAGAAAAGAUAUUUUCA
This is an RNA transcript of Argiope bruennichi, 1311 nucleotides long. RefSeq lists it as uncharacterized. NCBI's taxonomy places the organism in Eukaryota, Metazoa, Arthropoda, Arachnida, Araneae, Araneidae. The transcript is spliced from 5 exons. The record is from RefSeq and is a predicted model, not a curated record.